Drosophila ananassae is the source of this 4516-nucleotide long non-coding RNA. RefSeq lists it as uncharacterized. Lineage: Eukaryota; Metazoa; Arthropoda; Insecta; Diptera; Drosophilidae. The transcript has 2 exons. The record is from RefSeq and is a predicted model, not a curated record.
UGGGAUAAAAAAGAAAUGAAAGCAAACUGCAAGCGCCACUGCAGCAAAAAAAAAAAAAGCAGAAAAAAAAAUUAAAUAAAAAAGAAUAAAAGAAAAGAGAAAGAGAUGGCGUGUGUGUGUGUAUGCAUGGCUCAUAAAAGGCCCAAAAGGAGAAAGCCUGCCCUAAGUUAAAGCUCCUUUGGCGUUAUUCCAGCUAAUAAUCGAAAUUUUCAGAUCCACAAAUCGCAUCCUCACCUCACAUAACAUUCGCUUUGGGAGUUAUUUUCAAUAACCGAGUGAUAAGCGCAAAGUUCUUAUUUAAAAUACGACAAAAAAAAAAAAAAAUCGAAAUCGAGCAUAGAGCGGCGGUGUGUGGCCACUACGACCUUUACUGACCUUCAAUAGCAUUCAUAGCCUGCCCGUUCCGCUCUCCCGUCCUCCCGUCCAUCCCUUGUCCUCCCCCCCCGCCCCGACCAAUGCCAAGCACUAAAAUGUUGCUCUAUUUGUAUGAAAAAAAAAAACGCAUUGGCAUAUUUUUGUUUGUUUAUGAAAAGUAUGUGCACAAAACUGCUGAUAACACACGUUAUGUGAGCUUUAAGAGAGCGCAACUAAGAGAGUAAGAGAGAGAGACCGUUAUGUUUUGUCAAAUGCAAAAGGGAGGGGAAACUUGGGGGGAGUGUGCUCCAUUUUGUUGUGAUUUCGCGCUUUGCGCUUUGUACCUGGCCCUACGUAGCGCCAUUAGGCGCCUUAUCAGCGUUAUCAGCCGGAGUGCUAUUUCCGCAUCUUUGGCCCAUUGAGAUUAGCAUUAAUGGGAUGGAAUGCAUUUCGCCUUGGCAUUUUCACACGCGUUCUGACGUCCAACGAUCAUGUUUGAUGCACACUCUAUACUACCAGCACAAGUCCGCCCAUAAUUGUAUACUAUACGCACCAUUCUAUAUAAUUUAUAGAUUCUGAUCUAUUUAUAACGCCCUGUGUAUACGUAUGGGUUGGAAUUAUGGCUGGCGACAGGCAUUAACAAGUUUCUGUUUUCGAAAAUACAAUUUUUCGAAAAGUUUUCCACGCCCGAGAACAUUCUUUGUGUCGCCCACUUUCAAAAAAAAAUUGGGCAGAGAAAGAAAUGUUUAUUUUGGGAAAAAUGUAAUUUUAAAAUUGAAUUUUUUAUAUUCUUUUUAUGAAAUUCCAUUAUCUCAAUUAUAGCUAUGAUUUGUGGUUUAAUAAACUGCAUUUUAAACAUGAUUUCCAACAAUUUCAGGCCCGAAAUGAUUUCAAAUUUGUCUCUGACUGUGUGGGAGAUACAAUGUCUGCCCAGAAAAGCCAUUAAAUCUGCACGGAUUUAUGCCCGCAUUAAUCAUCGACCACGGCAGCUGUGUGUGAUUGCCUUUUGCCUUGAGUUCUUAGCCCGCAGGGAUCUCCAGCAGCAGCAGCAGCAGCACCCCUGACAUCCCAUCCCUCCAUGUGAUUCAAUUUCUAAAAUUGCUGUCGGUGCCUGUACCAUGGGGAUCCAAUGCAUCGCCUACCAGCACCAGCAGACAGUCUCAUUUUAUUUCACUUCACAUUUGCGGGGCCUGCUAUUUUUAGUGGCCUGCUCUUUCGGAUACAGAACAGUAUCUAUAAGAUACUCGUAUACACAUCAUGCGGCCUGCUGCCGGCUAAAGAUUUCCCGCAGAACUUGUUCUGCGCCUUGCACUCGCCAAUUUGUGCGUUGGUGUCGCGCCUUGGUUCCCCAUUUUUUUUUCUUCUCUCCUUUCCUGCCACAUAAUGCAUUCCCCUACAGUCGAACUUCGAUAGGUCAGAUUGUCAAAAAAAAGAUACAUUUCAAGAUAAUGAUUUUUCUAGAUUUUAAGCAGUUUUCUAGUAUAUAUCUAUGAGAUGUAGACCUUUAUCUAUGAUUUUUACCAUCUAUGUUAAAAAUUGAAAGAAAUCUUGAAGCUAUAGCUAUUUUAAACUUAUUCCAAAUAUCUUUUAUAUGAAACAAUUUAUAGCCCACCAUAAAAUUCAAAAAUUCAUCAAAACUUUGACUGAAAGGGCUAUUAAAUCCCCUGGAUUAGAGUGUCCAAUGUCUCAUCACUACGCCGUUGACUAGAGAACUCUUCUUUUUAAACAAUAGAUAUAAGAACAGAAUGCCUCACGAUCUAGAAAUAGAAAUAUUUCGAAAAUUGAGAUUUAAAUUAGCGGUAGUGGACUGUUCAUACUUUGCGGGUAAUUUGCCGGCUGCAGACUGUUGGCGACACUUUAAUGGGGACCCUGACAAACGGGUUACCGGAUGCCCACACCCUCUCAAGGUCCCCACCCGACAUCCCUCCUCACUCAUCUGAUUGCCGAGCCCAUUCAUGGAUUGUCUGGCGGGUUAAUCUGAUCCGGGUCCACCACGCUCCAAUGGUUGCUCAUUGAAGUCACUUGACCCAGACCCGCAAAAAGCUCCAAGCCACGACCUUUUUCACGGCAUUGCUUUGGCGGGGCGCUUUAUCAGCUUUAUUGUGCUCGGGGCAUACGUGCAGGAGAGUGGACCUAAGCCAGGGCGCAAGCGCCGCUCGCAAAGAGAAGCCAGGAUUUAAGAGAGACCAGCAAAGCUUUCCCAUCGCUUGAUUCUAUCUCUUUGUACACUGCAAACAAGCUCAUGGGAUUUUCCCCACCAAAUUAGCUGUCACAUAUCUUGCUAAUUUAUUUAUUGUUAAGAUUCUCUAGUGCUAAGCAUAUUUUAAGGAAAAUGUCGCGAACGAUUGUCGUUUUGACAAUUUCAACAGUUGUUGAGAGGUUAUUUUUGGACCGAGUGUUGUUUAUUUUAUUUUAUUUCAAUCGCCACAAAAAAUUUAUGACGUCUAUUGUGUGAGAUUCCUUUUGAUCGUUUUCCACGCCAUAAGUUUUAUUGUUUUUAGUUUGUGAAAAUUGUAUUUAUUUUAUUGUCAUUUUUUGCACACAUCCGGCACAACGAUUCAUUUCACAUGUUCCAACCACCCACCCACACACACACCCACCCACCACAAUAGAAAAGAAAGCAUCUGUGAACUGAAGUCCGCAUAUCUUUCAUCCGCAAAACAAACACAAACACACACCACACACACACUAGCACACACAAGCAUUAGAGGUGUACAUAGAGGUGGAGGAUACAAAUGCAAUCUGAAUUCAAUCCGAACUCAAUCCCAAGCAAGAUCAGCCAAAGCUCAGCCUUAGCCCGCUGUGCAGCACCAGUAUCCAUCAGUAUGCGUAUCAGUAUCUGUAUCUGUAUCUGAGUGCGUGUCCAUAGCAGCCAGAAGGUAGUUGUUGUUAUCCACCUACUUGUUGUAUCCUUUGCUUUAAAAAAUACCUUUCAGUUCGCUUCUCUAAAACCAAAAACCAAACUCAACCAAAAACCAAACCAACCAUGUAUAGAGAACUCUAAUCUGAACCUUAACCCGACUAAAGUUCAACGAAAUGUAAAAAGAAUAUAUACAGACACACCCACACACAACCUUGUAUAUAUCUACAAAUUAUUACCCUCUGAUAUCGUAGCAUUAAUACCCCAAUAAUCAUUAUGUUCAAAAUUCACUUGUCAAUAAUCAAAAUUGGAAAUAAAAACAAAUCUUUAUGUUUAUCUCUAUCUUAACUCUAAUGAUUUUUUAAUUUUCCAUACCAACUACAACAAGAAUGCAUGGAUUACUAAGAUUAGGGGAACAUAUUUCAAAUAAUAGUUUAAAACAAAAAAAAAUAAAGAAUAGUUCGAGAAUAGAGAGUGCAACUGUUUUCAAUCUAAUCUAGUCUAAACUAAUUCCCCACCACCGUGCGAGGGAGGCAUCUGAUGCCCCCGAAAAUCUCAUAAUCGCCCCAUAAACAUAUAGCAUAUAGGAUAGAAGCCAGCGCCAUGAAUAAUUAUCUAUAGCUUUCGCUAAAAUAAAUGCCAACUACGCAGAAUUCUAAUUGCUCGUUUCGACUCGACUCGCCUGCCAAUUCUUUAUGAUUUUCAAUUUUCAUUUUUUUCCCCUGCUGUUGCCGUUUCUCUUUUUUGCAAAUUUUCCUCGUUUUUUUUGCUUUUUCGCUCUCUCUAACAAAGCAAAUGAAAUUUGGAUGCAUGUGGGUGCCGCGUGCCGCAUGUGGCGUGCCCCGCCCCACUUGCCCCUCGCUGACGCACACACCACCUACCUACCAGUACUGUACAUAUGUAUGUAUCUAUUGAAUUUCAUGCGGGAAACCCGACAGAUACUUGUUUAUUUAUAAUCUACACUAGUCGGCAUAUAUAUUUUGACAUAGCGAUGCUUCAUUUUCUUUUUCAAUUAUUUCUUUAUUUAAAGGAAAACAAUUAUUGAUUUAAUUUCAAAUAGAUAUUAGUAAUGUUUUAUUACCAAAAUAACAGUUUUAGGUUUUUUAUAAAUGUAUUUUGUAUUUAUUUUUUAAUUUAAACUAAAAUAAACUAAAUUCGAUAGGUGGCAUAAGUAUUUUGACAUAGCUUUGUUUCACAAUUAAAUAUAACAGAGUGCAACAGUGAUUCUGAACCUUUAUAGUGAAAUAGUAGGAAUUGUUUAACUGUUCGAGUAUUACACAAAACCGUGUAUAAAAAAUUGUU